Molecule: ribosomal RNA, 400 nt
Filed under: phytoplankton environmental sample
Lineage: Eukaryota
Description: partial small subunit ribosomal RNA
Rfam family: Eukaryotic small subunit ribosomal RNA
Source: RNAcentral
AGCUCCAAUAGCGUAUAUUAAAGUUGCUGCAGUUAAAAAGCUCGUAGUUGGAUUUGUGGGAUGGCCGUCCGGCGGGGGGCCAUUUAUUGGUCCCGUUUGUCCUGGUUUUCGGCCUUCCCUUUCUCGGGUCUAGCGUAUUGGCUGGUAUUAGGUUGUCGGCCGCUUCGCGCCCGUCGUUUACUGUGAAAAAAUUAGAGUGUUCAAAGCAGGCUUAGGCCGUUGGAUACAUUAGCAUGGAAUAAUGAGAUAGGGCCACCGCGGUCUAUUUUGUUGGUUUGCACGUUGUGGUAAUGAUUAACAGGAACGGUUGGGGGUAUUCGUAUUCAAUUGUCAGAGGUGAAAUUCUUGGAUUUGUGGAAGACGAACUACUGCGAAAGCAUUUACCAAGGAUGUUUUCAUU